Molecule: long non-coding RNA, 268 nt
Filed under: Nicotiana tabacum (common tobacco)
Lineage: Eukaryota; Viridiplantae; Streptophyta; Magnoliopsida; Solanales; Solanaceae
Description: long non-coding RNA (NTAB_LNC006865)
Source: RNAcentral
CACCCCCACCCCCGGUCUCCCUCUUCUCUCUCUCCAUUUUCAAUGGCGACCAUCAAUGGCUUGACCUCACCACAGCCUUUUCUCUCUCUAUCAAAGCCCAAACCAAAACCCUCUUAUUCCCACUUCAAGCCUUUGAAGCCACAAAUCUUAUCCAAAGGCCUCAAACAGCAGAAUCAGCAGCUAAGAGACUGGGCAGUCGUGGGCUCGGUGGCCAACGAAACCGACCUGAUUCCAGUCCAAAGCAACGACACUACGGACCAGCAAAGCG